Molecule: non-coding RNA, 76 nt
Organism: Phthorimaea operculella (potato tuberworm)
Lineage: Eukaryota; Metazoa; Arthropoda; Insecta; Lepidoptera; Gelechiidae
Source: the annotation of a GenBank genome assembly
ACCGCGGUAGCCCAGUUGGUUAGGGCGUCGGCAGUACUAAUGCUGAAGGUCGCAGGUUCAAAUCCUGCCUGCGGUG